Molecule: long non-coding RNA, 2297 nt
Organism: Amphiprion ocellaris (clown anemonefish)
Lineage: Eukaryota; Metazoa; Chordata; Actinopteri; Pomacentridae
Exons: 4
Source: RefSeq, a predicted model, not a curated record
UUUUUGGCCUUAAUCCUCAGUUGGAAGUCAAAUCAGGCUUUUCACCAUCCCAUCAAAACGUCCUUUGUCAAAGCUCUCCGGGCUUUUUUUGUGAAGCGUAUCGGCGCAGCAGGGAUGCAGAGGUGCUGCUGGCGCUCUGCAAGUCGGCCCUGAAAGAAUCUCUGAUGGCCAGCAGACCUGAAGCCAGAAGGUGUCCACACACUUUGCUGUGCCACUGCUGGGAUCGACCCCUGCAACAAGGAAACACAACAGAAAGAAGCCUUUGCACAGUUCAAGGAAAACUCUUGAAUGAGACGUGAGAACAACAGAAGUCAAGUUCCCUUCUUAGGACAAAGCCACCAUCUUUUACAAGCUGUGAAGGGUGUACAAGAGACCAACUACACAAAUGUGGGUCAGCCGGGUCUUCCUGGCUCCGGCGGGCUCCAGCAAGUAGAGGCAGCCGUGGACGUGGACCCGGACCCCGUCCACCAGAACCUCAGGGUGGUCCGUGGAUACCGAGGACAGGAAGAGAGGACCGGAGGACGGGUCGGCCUGCCACCACCUGAGCAGGAGGAUUCAUAAUAAUGAGACGAAAAAUCUCAGUUUUCAGUCUGAUUUUAGCUCCAAGCAGCUUCUGAAGGUUUGGUUUUUCUGUUUUAAUAUUUCUGUAAUUGAUCACUGACACUGAAAAUUCCAAUAUACACUCCUGUUCAAAAUUCUGGGGUCACUUAGAGUGAUGUUGAGUGGUGCUGAAAUGCUGAUGAUUAGAAAACCCCUGUGCAGUUAUGUCAGCACAUGAAUAAAAAUGGGAGUUUUCAUGGAAAACAUGAAAUUGUCUGACCCCAAACUUUUGAACAGUAGUGUGGAUAUCAGAACACAAACCUAAAGAAGGUUUUAAAGGAUAUUUAAUGUCACCAAAACCAAUUAAAUCACCAAUAGAAUCCAUCAGUGUCGCUUAAGACAGGAUUCAGGAAAUAUGUUGCUUCAGUCUCUUAUUCAGAAUUUGCUUAUUUGAGACCUAAAACUACGUUCUGUACAAUAUUGUGACUGAAUUUUGACAAUAUCAUGUUUUCAGACCUGGGAAUUCUAGUAUUUCCCCCUCAAAUAAAAACAUUGUACCUGGGGGCCUUUUGAAGGUUCAAUAUCUCCAAAAAUUUAACUCCCACUGCCAUUAAAUCUGAAGAGGACACAGACAGCUCAGUUUCUAGUAGAUCUAAACGACUAAACUGCUCCAAAAGAGGACAAUUUUUUAACUUUUAGCUAUUGAAAAUGGGGGGAAAAGGCAAAAUUUUAUAACAAGAGAGCAUUAAACUCUAAUAUAUGUGCUAUAAAUGUGUACAUGGACAUAUUCAUAUGUCCAGUGGUUUAAUAUUUCAAUUUAAGUUUAAAAAAAAGUGAUAUUUGAUCCUUUUAAAUGUCCGAGAUCAGCUGUAGUACCUCAUUGUUCCACUGCAUGUUUGCAAGCAGAGAGCAUCGUGGGAGCUAUCAAUGUGCACCAUGACAAGGAUUCUGUGACAUUUAAUGACCUCCUACUUCAUCUCAAAUUCAACUUUUGGUUAUUCUUUUUUGUGAUUCAUGAUGACAUACCUGACUAAUACACUACUCAUUUAAAAUGUUGCCAAAAAAAUAAACAAAAAACCAUUUUCUCUAACUAAAUCCAACAAUUCAGAGCAACCCUGAAGACAUAGUAAAGGGACCAAAAUUCUGAGAUUUUUUAGCUGAACUGCAGGCUGUUUACACAGGGCAAAGAGAAAACAAGUAUGGAAACAGAUUUAAAAAGUAAAAAAUUACAAAAUUAAACUUUUGUUUUUUCUUUCUUAUGACUUCUAGCAUUGUAACUGCAUCAUGCUGCACAGAAGAUAUUUCUAAGUUUGUCCUAGUUAUGGAUGUUCUGUUUAAACAGAGGUGCAGGACUUUAUAUUGCUGAGAAAAAAAUGAAUCCACGGUGACAAAAAAAUGUGAAACAAGUAAACAUACUCCCUACAAAAACUCUUCUGUUAUUACAGGAACAAGAAGGCAACACUGGUCACUGGUUUUAACUUUAAUAACAAAUGUGUAUUUUAAUGUAAUAAGCUAAUUAAAGUCAUUCAUAUCAAUAAAUUUAAAGGCACAAGUGUUCAGUUUCAGCUGUUCAUCCUGGUUCUGUGGUGUUUACAAGACAAGUUAUUUAUCCCAAGAUCGAAGAAUGUAAAAGCUGCUGCAGAAAUAUGAAUAAAACUAUUAUUUUGUGGCCUGUUUCUAAAAUUUCAGGUGCUGCACUUGCUUGUUUUUGGUCUUUACACUGGAUUUGUUGAAAAUAAAGACUGUGGCUGAAUGUA